Molecule: non-coding RNA, 32 nt
Filed under: Homo sapiens (human)
Lineage: Eukaryota; Metazoa; Chordata; Mammalia; Primates; Hominidae
Source: RNAcentral
CACAAGUGCUGUCUUUACAAGUAUUUGCUAAA